Molecule: non-coding RNA, 148 nt
Organism: Homo sapiens (human)
Lineage: Eukaryota; Metazoa; Chordata; Mammalia; Primates; Hominidae
Rfam family: Metazoan signal recognition particle RNA
About the family: The signal recognition particle (SRP) is a universally conserved ribonucleoprotein. It is involved in the co-translational targeting of proteins to membranes.
Source: Rfam
GCUGGGCAUGGUGGCGCAUGCCUGUAAUCCUAGCUACUGGGGAGGCUGAGGCACAAGAAUCGCUUGAACCUGGGAAGCAGAGGAUGCAGUGAGCCAAGAUCAUGACACUGUACUCCAGCCUGGGUGACAGAGCGAGACUCUGUCUCAA